UAAGCGGAGGAAAAGAAACUAACAAGGAUUCCCCUAGUAACUGCGAGUGAAGCGGGAAAAGCUCAAAUUUAAAAUCUGGUGGUCUUUGNCCAUCCGAGUUGUAAUUUAGAGAAGUGUCUUCCGCGCUGGACCGUGCACAAGUCUCCUGGAAUGGAGCGUCAUAGAGGGUGAGAAUCCCGUCUUUGGCACGGACACACCAGGGCUUUUGUGAUACACUCUCGAAGAGUCGAGUUGUUUGGGAAUGCAGCUCAAAAUGGGUGGUGAACUCCAUCUAAAGCUAAAUAUUGGCGAGAGACCGAUAGCGAACAAGUACCGUGAGGGAAAGAUGAAAAGCACUUUGGAAAGAGAGUGAAACAGUACGUGAAAUUGUUGAAAGGGAAACGCUUGAAGUCAGUCACGUUAACCGAGACUCAGCCUUGCCUUGGCUUGGUGUACUUCUUGGCUAACGGGUCAGCAUCAAUUUUGCCCCUUGGAUAAUGGUAAGGGAAAUGUGACACCUUUAUGGUGUGUUAUAGUCUCUUGUCGCAUGCAAGGGUUGGGAUUGAGGAACUCAGUACGCACCUUUGGGUGUCGGGGCUUUGCCUACGAUACGUGCUUAGGAUGUUGGCAUAAUGGCUUUAAACGACC
Molecule: ribosomal RNA, 627 nt
Filed under: uncultured Russulaceae
Lineage: Eukaryota; Fungi; Basidiomycota; Agaricomycetes; Russulales; Russulaceae
Description: LSU rRNA
Rfam family: Eukaryotic large subunit ribosomal RNA
Source: RNAcentral